UGAGGAAUAUUGGGCAAUGCCCGCAAGGGUGACCCAGCAACGCCGCGUGGAGGAUGAAUGUCGUAAGAUUGUAAACUCCUGUUAGAGGGGAAGAAUAGUACCGGUUGGACCGGUAUAUGACUGUACCCUCAGAGAAAGCCCCGGCUAACUACGUGCCAGCAGCCGCGGCAAUACGUAGGGGGCAAGCGUGGUCCGGAUUUUCUGGGUGUAAAGGGCGCGCAGGCGGGAUAAAAAGUCAGUGGUGAAAUCCUACAGCUUAACUGUAGAACUGCCUUUGAUACUUUUAUUCUUGAGUUCGGGAGAGAGAGACGGAAUUCCAGGUGUAGUGGUGAAAUACGUAGAGAUCUGGAAGAACACCAGUUGCGAAGGCGGUCUCUUGGUCCGACACUGACGCUGAGGCGCGAAAGCGUGGGGAGCAAACA
This 422-nucleotide ribosomal RNA is filed under the name uncultured bacterium. RNAcentral's name for it is "bacterial SSU rRNA". It matches the Rfam family "Bacterial small subunit ribosomal RNA", at positions 355 to 774 of the family's 1533-position model. The record is from RNAcentral.